Molecule: microRNA precursor, 94 nt
Filed under: Paramuricea clavata
Lineage: Eukaryota; Metazoa; Cnidaria; Anthozoa; Malacalcyonacea; Plexauridae
Source: RNAcentral
UCGAGUCCUGGCUCGAGUCCUGACUCGAGUCCUGGCUCGAGUCCUGGCUCGAGUCCUGGCUCGAGUCCUGGCUCGAAUCCUGACUCGAGCAAUA